GAAGAAGGAGAAGAAAGAAGUGGCUCAUUCAUGCGGCCUAAACAAACCGUAGACUUGUCUUGUGAGGCCUUAAGCUGCCAACCAGAGAACUGGAAGAAGCGACAGCCUGCGAGGGAGCAGUUAGCAUCAGAGCUAACUGAGAAGCUAACGGCCAGAGAAGUUUCCUGUUAGAGGAAAAGGGAAAAAGUGACUUCUUAUUGAGAACACUGGACACUUAUUGGACUCUGGGCUGUUUUGAGGCUUUUCUCCGAGGAACAAAAGCGAGUCUGACGGUAAGAAGAUGAAUUUAACAACAAUUUAACCAGACCUCUCAGCUUUUAAUGAAAACUAAGAGAUUAUGUUAAUUUUCGCCGGUGGGGGAGUGAAACACGUGAA
Long non-coding RNA from Fundulus heteroclitus (mummichog), 375 nucleotides. RefSeq lists it as uncharacterized. The transcript is spliced from 2 exons. The record is from RefSeq and is a predicted model, not a curated record. NCBI's taxonomy places the organism in Eukaryota, Metazoa, Chordata, Actinopteri, Cyprinodontiformes, Fundulidae.